Molecule: long non-coding RNA, 987 nt
Organism: Aedes aegypti (yellow fever mosquito)
Lineage: Eukaryota; Metazoa; Arthropoda; Insecta; Diptera; Culicidae
Exons: 2
Source: RefSeq, a predicted model, not a curated record
UCAACAAUUCGCCAAACUGUUCACACGCUAAAAAAUACACUCUGCUAACAGUGACUGUUAAUGUUUUACAUAUGGGUUCUUUUUUCGUCACAACUCGGUGCAAAAAUAAAAAAACAAUGCAAAAGUUUUGGUGAUAUUUGUCGGUCGAAUACUUGAUGAUUUUAAAUCUAUAUUUAAAAGAAAAAAUAAUAUUUAUUAUGUAAUUUUACAGUACACAAUGAAUGGAAAUUUUGUUAGGUGUCUGUCAUGUCAAAUGUAGAAAAAAAAAAAACAAAAAAACGUCUGGAGUAAACAAAUUUUGGAUUGUGUAAUAGAUUUGUCCUUGUUUUUUGUAAAAUAUUUAUCCGGAUGAUCCAAUGUCAAGCCAGGAACAACUGGCUUAUGAUACGGGCAAAUAAGCAAGAGAGCAUUCGCAGGACAGCCAAAAACGCUGCCGUUGUCGGCAACCAAGCAACGGAACGGAAUCAGAACAACGGAAGACAAUCGGAUUCUCAAGAGGAAAACGAACCAUGUCCUCUAGAGCAUUGUGUAAACCGGAAUCGAUUACUGGCCAUAAUAGAAGACAACGCGAAGCCAGACAAGCCGGAAUAUAAUCUGUCGCUGGUCUAGCAAUGAUCAGAAAAGGAGUGAAAGUGUGUUGGGGAAACUGUAAGGGCUAAAAUGAACAAAAAUAACGGCAAUAAUUAAUAUCAGUGUGUUUUUAUUAUAGAUUAUGGAACAAGUAUGUACGAGUGGUAUGAAUUCACAUCAAUCAAAAAUUUAAGUUUUGUCAUAUUUUCUAGUAAUACAAGUUAUUCGUUAUUAUGUGAAACGGUGGUUUUGAUUAGACUAUAAUAUAUUUUUGAUUGAGGUGAGUUUUUCUACUCGUAUUUACUUGUUCCAUUGCUGCUCAUUAUUUACUCAAAGCAUAUUUACUUCUAUGGUAUAAGUACAACAAGACAGUUUAGCAUACGGUUAAAUUACAAUAAAACACCAUAAGCCAACGAA